CGCGUCGGUCCGGGUGGGUCUAAGGCUGAUUGAUCCGCCGUGCGCACGCCAGCGCGUUCCUCUGUGGCAGGAGAGGGGGCCUGCGUGUGACGGAGCGUGCGUGGGAGGACGCGCGUGUGUGUGCGUCCUGAUCACGGUGGUCUGUGGGUGGGGCGGAUCGUGCGCGCGCGCCCGACCUGUGCCCCCCCAAGCCAGAUGUGAACAGGGCACUGCUGCUGACCCCCUGGUGACAGCUAGCCAGUGGUUGAGAGACCGCAAGAUGAUUCCUCGUCUUUCACUUCCCUCCGUCCCAGUCCAGUAAGGAUCAUGCUGUCUAUUCUGCGAGGACAUGUUGAAUGCAGGGACAGCCAUUUGGAAGACUGUCCUCGAGGGUGGCAGCAGCCUCUCAGGACAGGGAAAGCCAAGGUGACCACUAAGCCCGUCUGGGGUGGAGGGUGGCAGGCGGGGGUGGAGAGGAUUCGAGGCCACCUGAAGGAACCUGUGCUCGGAGACACUUACUCAUUGUGCGGGUCUGACACCUCCCAGCUCAUCCUGUCCCCAUCUUCCCCUUGCGUCACGUCCCCACCCAGCAGGAGGAGAUCUGAGGCUUUGCGCGACGCUGGCCCCGCGAAGUGUGGGGGGCUUUUCCUCUCAACCACUAGUGCCCCACAAGCGUGGGUGAACAGUCCUCCCUGGCUACUGUGAGACGCUGGGCAGGCCACUUCGCUUCUCUGGGCCUCGGUUUUCCUGCUUGUCAAAUGGGGCUGAUGCCGGCGUGGGCUUCUUCGGGCGGUCGCGAGGGUUGACCCCUGGAGUCAGCAGGCCAGCCGCAAACACGCUCCCAGGCUGAGG
This is a non-coding RNA of Macaca mulatta (Rhesus monkey), 831 nucleotides long. The record is from RefSeq and is a predicted model, not a curated record. NCBI's taxonomy places the organism in Eukaryota, Metazoa, Chordata, Mammalia, Primates, Cercopithecidae.